This 67-nucleotide transfer RNA is filed under the name Marmota monax (woodchuck). Its description in RNAcentral is "tRNA.Ala". Lineage: Eukaryota; Metazoa; Chordata; Mammalia; Rodentia; Sciuridae. The record is from RNAcentral.
GGUUGUGGCUCAGUGGUAGAGUGCUUGCCUAGCAUGUGUGAGGCACUGGGUUCAAUCCACAGCACCA